Molecule: ribosomal RNA, 497 nt
Filed under: uncultured bacterium
Lineage: Bacteria
Description: partial 16S ribosomal RNA
Rfam family: Bacterial small subunit ribosomal RNA
Source: RNAcentral
GAUGAACGCUGGCGGCGUGCCUAACACAUGCAAGUCGAGCGAACAGACGAGGAGUUUGCUCCUCUGACGUUAGCGGCGGACGGGCGAGCAACACGUGGAUAACCUACCUAUAAGACUGGGAUAACCCCGGGAAACUGGAGCUAAUAUCGGAUAAUAUAUUGAACCGCAUGGUUUAAUAGUGCAAGACGGCUUUGCUGUCACUUAUAGAUGCAUCCGCGCCGCAUUAGCUAGUUGGUACGGUAACGGCUUACCACGGCCACCAUGCGUAGCCGACCUGAGAGGAUGAUCGGCCACACUAGAACUGCGACAGUGUCCGGACUCCUACGCGAGGCCGCAGUAGGGAAUCUUCCGCAAUGGGCGAGAGCCUGACGGAGCGAGGCCGCGUCAGUGCUGAAGGUCUCCGGGUCGUAACCCUCUGUUGUGAGGCAAGAACACAUGUUUAAGUAAAGGAGCACGGCGUGACGGUACCGAAUCAGCAAGCCCCGGCUAACUACGUG